UAAUUGUUGAAGAAUAAGAAAAGAAACUAAAAGAAUCGUCCAAGAAUUAUUUUUCACGGUUGCAAAAUUUAAAGAUAGUUAUGGAGAAAUGCAUUGAAGCUCCUUUGUUCCUUGCUAGGAGAAUUUUUAAUCACUCAAAAGACCCAUGUAUAAAAACUUGGACUGAAUAUGAAAGUAAUCUCUGAACCUCUAAAACUAUUUUUGUAGUGAAUGAUUGGUGUGAUGUAUUUGAAUCAAAGACCAAGAACCAUUCUUCUCUAUUCUUGCCAUGCUUCUUUCAAUUACUGAAGCCAUAACAUUUAUCACUCUAAUGGCCCCUACUGAAUUCAUUAUCUCUCUUUUGAAUAUUGUUGUUGUAGUUGAUUCUUUAAUGGUCUCUGCUAAAUUUCAUAUCUUUAAAGAUGAGUGCUUGUUGCCUUGCAUCAUGAACGGAGACAAAGAAGAUGGAAGACAUAAGCGAAAGCCAAAAAUUAAUUAUGUUUUGAUAACAUGUUAAAAUGGUAUGAGACAUUCACAAAUCUUUUUGAUGAAGAAGAAAGAUGAGAUAUUCAUGAUGAG
Molecule: long non-coding RNA, 558 nt
Filed under: Lupinus angustifolius (narrow-leaved blue lupine)
Lineage: Eukaryota; Viridiplantae; Streptophyta; Magnoliopsida; Fabales; Fabaceae
Description: long non-coding RNA (LANG_LNC000954)
Source: RNAcentral